CGGUACAACGAGUCGCAAGACCGCGAGGUUUAGCAAAUCUCUUAAAGCCGUUCUCAGUUCGGAUUGUAGGCUGCAACUCGCCUACAUGAAGUCGGAAUCGCUAGUAAUCGCGGAUCAGCAUGCCGCGGUGAGUACGUUCCCGGGCCUUGUACACACCGCCCGUCACACCAUGAGAGUUUGUAACACCCAAAGCCGGUGGGGUAACCUUUUGGAGCCAGCCGUCUAAGGUGGGACAGAUGAUUAGGGUGAAGUCGUAACAAGGUAAC
This 266-nucleotide ribosomal RNA is filed under the name uncultured bacterium. RNAcentral describes it as "partial 16S ribosomal RNA". It matches the Rfam family "Bacterial small subunit ribosomal RNA", at positions 1235 to 1500 of the family's 1533-position model. The record is from RNAcentral.